RNAcentral lists this ribosomal RNA (301 nucleotides) under uncultured bacterium. RNAcentral's name for it is "partial 16S ribosomal RNA". It matches the Rfam family "Bacterial small subunit ribosomal RNA", at positions 509 to 807 of the family's 1533-position model. The record is from RNAcentral.
CAGCCGCCACGGUAAUACGAAGGGUGCAAGCGUUACUCGGAAUUACUGGGCGUAAAGCGUGCGUAGGUGGUGGUUUAAGUCCGUUGUGAAAGCCCUGGGCUCAACCUGGGAAUUGCAGUGGAUACUGGGUCACUAGAGUGUGGUAGAGGAUAGUGGAAUUUCCGGUGUAGCAGUGAAAUGCGUAGAGAUCGGUAGGAACAUCUGUGGCGAAGGCGACUAUCUGGGCCAACACUGACACUGAGGCACGAAAGCGUGGGGAGCAAACAGGAUUAGAUACCCCUGUAGUCCCUGUCUCUUAUAC